GCCCGAGUGGCGGAACUGGUAGACGCGCAUGCUUGAGGGGCAUGUGGCCCUUAGGGCCAUGGAGGUUCGAGUCCUCUCUCGGGCA
Molecule: transfer RNA, 85 nt
Filed under: Bacteroidetes bacterium QS_9_68_14
Lineage: Bacteria; Pseudomonadati; Bacteroidota
Description: tRNA-Leu
Rfam family: tRNA
About the family: Transfer RNA (tRNA) molecules are approximately 80 nucleotides in length. Their secondary structure includes four short double-helical elements and three loops (D, anti-codon, and T loops).
Source: RNAcentral